GAUGAACGCUGGCGGCGUGCCUAAUACAUGCAAGUCGAGCGAACAGAUGAGGAGCUUGCUCCUCUGACGUUAGCGGCGGACGGGUGAGUAACACGUGGAUAACCUACCUAUAAGACUGGGAUAACUUCGGGAAACCGGAGCUAAUACCGGAUAAUAUAUUGAACCGCAUGGUUCAAUAGUGAAAGACGGUUUUGCUGUUACUUAUAGAUGGAUCCGCGCCGCAUUAGCUAGUUGGUAAGGUAACGGCUUACCAAGGCGACGAUGCGUAGCCGACCUGAGAGGGUGAUCGGCCACACUGGAACUGAGACACGGUCCAGACUCCUACGGGAGGCAGCAGUAGGGAAUCUUCCGCAAUGGGCGAAAGCCUGACGGAGCAACGCCGCGUGAGUGAUGAAGGUCUUCGGAUCGUAAAACUCUGUUAUUAGGGAAGAACAAAUGUGUAAGUAACUAUGCACGUCUUGACGGUACCUAAUCAGAAAGCCACGGCUAACUACGUG
This 497-nucleotide ribosomal RNA is filed under the name uncultured bacterium. RNAcentral describes it as "partial 16S ribosomal RNA". It matches the Rfam family "Bacterial small subunit ribosomal RNA", at positions 28 to 507 of the family's 1533-position model. The record is from RNAcentral.